CAGCACCUCAAGUGGUCAGGAUGAUUAUUGGGCCUAAAGCAUCCGUAGCCGGCGCUGUAAGUUUUGGGUUAAAUCUGUACGCUCAACGUACAGGCUGCCGGGAAUACUGCAGCGCUAGGGAGUGGGAGAGGUAGACGGUACUCGGUAGGAAGGGGUAAAAUCCUUUGAUCUAUUGAUGACCACCUGUGGCGAAGGCGGUCUACCAGAGCACGUCCGACGGUGAGGGAUGAAAGCUGGGGGAGCAAACCGGAUUAGAUACCCGAGUAGUCC
Molecule: ribosomal RNA, 270 nt
Filed under: uncultured archaeon
Lineage: Archaea
Description: partial 16S ribosomal RNA
Rfam family: Archaeal small subunit ribosomal RNA
Source: RNAcentral